Molecule: ribosomal RNA, 485 nt
Filed under: uncultured bacterium
Lineage: Bacteria
Description: partial 16S ribosomal RNA
Rfam family: Bacterial small subunit ribosomal RNA
Source: RNAcentral
AUUGAACGCUGGCGGCAUGCCUUACACAUGCAAGUCGAACGGCAGCACGGGUGCUUGCACCUGGUGGCGAGUGGCGAACGGGUGAGUAAUACAUCGGAACAUGUCCUGUAGUGGGGGAUAGCCCGGCGAAAGCCGGAUUAAUACCGCAUACGAUCUACGGAUGAAAGCGGGGGACCUUCGGGCCUCGCGCUAUAGGGUUGGCCGAUGGCUGAUUAGCUAGUUGGUGGGGUAAAGGCCUACCAAGGCGACGAUCAGUAGCUGGUCUGAGAGGACGACCAGCCACACUGGGACUGAGACACGGCCCAGACUCCUACGGGAGGCAGCAGUGGGGAAUUUUGGACAAUGGGCGAAAGCCUGAUCCAGCAAUGCCGCGUGUGUGAAGAAGGCCUUCGGGUUGUAAAGCACUUUUGUCCGGAAAGAAAUCAUUGGCCCUAAUACGGUCGGGGGAUGACGGUACCGGAAGAAUAAGCACCGGCUAACUACGU